UUAGGUUUAUAUGUACAUUUAUGCAUAUAACAGUCUAUAUUAAGGUGAUGGUCCCUUAAGUUUGAACCCAUUCUAAAAACACUAAAUUUUUACUCCCCUCCCCUCUAUGUUUUAGGUAUAUGAUGUCAUACUUUAUAUCCCUUUAUUAAUCUCUUGACUGAUUUUUAUAGAUAUACUUGAUUUUACUGCUUUGUGUUUUAACCUCCGUACUGUUUUAUAAGUGAUUAAUCUUUUAUUAUGUUUAUAUGCACCUGUGAAAUUUUUUCCUUUCCUCAUUUUCUUACUCCUGCUUUUGGCUUUUCUUUUCCACUUAAAGAAUCCCCUUUAAUAUUUCUUGUAAGCCUGGUUUAGUGGUGAUGAACUCCUUUAACUUUUGUUUAUCUGAGAAACUUUAUCUCUCCUAUUCUGAAUGAUGGCCUUGCUGCAUAGAGUAUUCUUGGUUUCAGUUUUUUUCCUUUCAGCACUUUGAAUAUAUCAUGCCACUCCUUUCUAGCCUGCAAAGUUUCUGCUGAAAAAUCAGCUGGUAGCCUUAUGGAGUUUCUCUCAUAUGUAACUAUUUUCUUUUCUUUUGAUGCUUUUACAUUUUUCUCUUUAUCAGUACUUUUUUGCCAUUUUAAUUACUGUGUGUCUUGGUGUGGACCUCCUUGGGUUGAUAUUAUUGGGGGGUCUCUGUGCGUUAGGACUCUAGAUUUGUUUCCCUCUCCAGAUUUAGGAAGUUUUCAGCUAUUAGUUCUUCAAAUAAAUUUGUUACCCCUUUUAUCUCUCUUCUUCUGGGAUCCCUAUAAUGUUAAUGUUAUUACACGUUAUGGUAUUGCUGAGUUCCCUUAACCUAUUCUCGCAUUUUUGUUAAUCUUUUUUCUUUCUCCUGUUUAGCUUGAUUGCUUUUCAUUACUGUCUUUUAGAUCACUGAUCCAUUCUUCUGCUUCCUCUAAUCUACUAUUUAUUCCCUCUAGUGUAUUUUUCAUCUCACUUAUUGAGUUCUUCAUCUCUCACUGGUUCUUUUUUAUAUUUUCUCUUUUUUGAGGGUUUCACGGAGAUCCUCUACUCUUUUCUCAAGUCCAGUGAGUAUAUUUAUGAUUACUUUAAAGUCUCUAUCAGGCAUAUUGCUUAUCUGUUUCAUUUAGCUCUCUUGCUGUGAGUUUGUCCUCUUCUUUCAUUUGAGACAUAUUCUAAUAUGCCUUCAUUUUGUCUAACUCUCUGUGUCUGUUUCUGUGUGUUAGAAAAGUAAGCUACAUCUCCUGCUUUUGCAAGUAGUGGCCUUAUGAAGAAGAGGUCCUGUAGUGCCCUGCAGUGCAAUUUCCCUUCAAGGGUAUCUUCUGUAUGUGUUGCAUGCACCUUACUGUUGUGGCUGAGCCACAUCUGCCUUUAGUCCAGUUGUCUGAAAUGGCUCUCUUUGCCUAUUGUGGGCAGGGUUUGGUUCCGGUGUUAAGAGGCAAGUUGGGGCUGCCUUGGGCAAAAAACCUUAAUUUUUUAAAUUGUUUUUGCCAAUGUUAAGGAAAUAUGCAUGGAUAUGUAGGUGUGUUUAGUUAUACAAGAAGGGAAUUUGAAAGGACAUAAAAUAUAUAGUCAUAUUUAAAUGAUGAGAUUAAAGGUCUUUUAAGUCUCUAAUUUACUAUAAUGGACAUGUAUCACUUUUAUAAGAAAAAAAUAAUGAAAAUAUGUGUGCACACACACUUUUUAAUCUUAAAUUUAUUCUUAGUGUACUAGGAGAAUAGUAAUAUGCUGAGUAUAAAUCAGUACUUCAUUUCUGGAGGACAGUGUAUAAUAUAUACACUGUAUAUUUAUGAGUGUGUAUGUAUAAGAUAUACUCUUUGGUUCUCUCAAUUUAAAUUUUAGGAGUUUAUAUUAAGAAAAUAAUCAGAUCCAGACUGCCUGGGUUUGAAUCCCAGCUUCACCACUUAUAACUUUGUGACCCUAGUUCAUGUUCUUUGGUGGAAUGAGAGUGCAGACAGUCGUGCAGCUGGGAGACAUCAGUCUCAUGAGGAUCCCAGAGUUGUGGCAGCUGUUCGGGAAAGUGUUAACUUCCUUGAGUCUCAGCAAAAUAUGCUUCUGAUUCCUACGUCAUUUUCCCCAUUGAAAUAAUUUUCCUCUGAAAUACAAAGCAUUGCAUUAACUGCUAUAAGUUGUGUCUGCUAAUGGUGCUUAAAUUCUCCCAAGAGAUUUUCAUUUUUAUUUGAAGGAGGUGGUAAGUUAAUUUGCUGUGCCCUCUGCAUUUUUAAAAGCUGCUCUGUCCAUUGUCAUGACCUCUUGAGGAAAUAGUUCUGUUCAUUUUCCGUUUGGCAUUUCAGUAUCUGUCAUAUAUUAAAAAUAGUUGUCAUUCCUUCAA
Panthera uncia (snow leopard) is the source of this 2326-nucleotide long non-coding RNA. RefSeq lists it as uncharacterized. The record is from RefSeq and is a predicted model, not a curated record. The transcript is spliced from 3 exons. Lineage: Eukaryota; Metazoa; Chordata; Mammalia; Carnivora; Felidae.